CAUAUUCGCAUUGUAUUAUGGUAUAUUAUAUGUAAAAAAAACUUAAUAUUUUUCUUCUUCUUCACCAAAUUUUAGGUUUCUUCAUCAAUAAUCCAGAUGAAUUUUAGGUUUCGUCUUCUUCACCAUAAAAGAUUGAUUCAUAUUAUAUACAAAUGUGUAAGAAAUGUAACUACAUAAUCCAGAUGAAUAUGAUUUAUUUUCGCGAUAUUCACAUUGUAUUAUGGUAUAUUAUAUGUAAAAAAAAUC
This 246-nucleotide long non-coding RNA is filed under the name Lathyrus oleraceus (garden pea). RNAcentral's name for it is "Pisum sativum (pea) long non-coding RNA (PSAT_LNC039297)". The record is from RNAcentral. Lineage: Eukaryota; Viridiplantae; Streptophyta; Magnoliopsida; Fabales; Fabaceae.